GACGAACGCUGGCGGCGUGCCUAAUACAUGCAAGUAGAACGCUGAAGGAGGAGCUUGCUUCUCUGGAUGAGUUGCGAACGGGUGAGUAACGCGUAGGUAACCUGCCUGGUAGCGGGGGAUAACUAUUGGAAACGAUAGCUAAUACCGCAUAAGAGUAGAUGUCGCAUGACAUUUGCUUAAAAGGUGCAAUUGCAUCACUACCAGAUGGACCUGCGUUGUAUUAGCUAGUUGGUGAGGUAACGGCUCACCAAGGCAACGAUACAUAGCCGACCUGAGAGGGGGUUCGGCAAACCUGGACUGGGAACACGGCCCAGACUCCUCGGGAGGCAGCAGUAGGGAAUCUUCGGCAAUGGACGGAAGUCUGACCGAGCAACGCCGCGUGAGUGAAGAAGGUUUUCGGAUCGUAAAGCUCUGUUGUAAGAGAAGAACGAGUGUGAGAGUGGAAAGUUCACACUGUGACGGUAUCUUACCAGAAAGGGACGGCUAACUACGUG
Molecule: ribosomal RNA, 494 nt
Filed under: uncultured bacterium
Lineage: Bacteria
Description: partial 16S ribosomal RNA
Rfam family: Bacterial small subunit ribosomal RNA
Source: RNAcentral